CGGGGAGAGACGCAGUGAGAAGCAGGUAGAGAGUAGCGACGGGGAGAGACGCAGUGAGCAGCAGGUGGAGAGUAGCGACGGGAAGAGACGCAGUGAGAAGCAGGUAGAGAGUAGCGACGGGGAGAGACGCAGUGAGAAGCAGGUAGAGAGUAGCGACGGGGAGAGACGCAGUGAGAAGCAGGUAGAGAGUAGCGACGGGGAGAGACGCAGUGAGAAGCAGGUAGAGAG
Pelobates cultripes (western spadefoot toad) is the source of this 228-nucleotide non-coding RNA. NCBI's taxonomy places the organism in Eukaryota, Metazoa, Chordata, Amphibia, Anura, Pelobatidae. The record is from the annotation of a GenBank genome assembly.